UUAUAUAUAUAUAUAUAUAUAUAUAUAUAUAUAUAUAUAUAUAGAGAGAGAGAGAGAGAGAGAGACUGUAAAGUGGUAACGUCGGUGCUUGCUUUUUUUUUUCCUGUAUCUUGUAGGAUCUGAGUGGGUGGCAAUGUAUAGAAGAAGAAGAGAGAUGAGCAUCUGCAUCUUCUCUUUUCUGGCUUGCUGGAAAAGCUUUUGACCAUACUAGAUUGUUCCUUUGUCUCAAAUUCCAAAUGAGGUGACAUCAUGGCAUAUACUUGGGUUUAUGCCUUUUUGCUUGACUCCCAAGUCAGGUGACCACUGAAGGAGCCUAUGCCAGACGAACAAGUGCUUCUCUUUUGUAUGAAAGAGGUUGUCCUUCCGUGUGGUCCAACCAAAGAUUAGUACUUCGUUACAUGCCUCUACUGAAUUAAUAAUAUAUGAGACUACAUAAAUAUUGGUAAAGUUAAGAAUAUUAAUUUUUGGAGGUAAUACAGGAAUCAAAUUAAGCACCUGAGAGUGUGGCAAUCGAAGUAGGAGAUCAUGAUUAAGCACCCGAAUUUGUUUAUUUGGGAUUUGCUCCUUUUCUCGUACGAUUUAAAAUAAUCCAAGAUGAAUUUGGUUUGAACCAAUUUAGCUGAAUGAGGCUAAUCGCCUAACUCGAACCUCCUAAGUG
RNAcentral lists this long non-coding RNA (658 nucleotides) under Musa acuminata (dwarf banana). RNAcentral describes it as "long non-coding RNA (MACU_LNC009308)". Lineage: Eukaryota; Viridiplantae; Streptophyta; Magnoliopsida; Zingiberales; Musaceae. The record is from RNAcentral.